Molecule: long non-coding RNA, 382 nt
Organism: Penaeus monodon (black tiger shrimp)
Lineage: Eukaryota; Metazoa; Arthropoda; Malacostraca; Decapoda; Penaeidae
Exons: 3
Source: RefSeq, a predicted model, not a curated record
UCAUAGAGAGCAGGGAGAAGAGGGGAGAAAGAACCACCGUUUUUUUUUCUAAUAUACCUUUACCGCGUCGCAUGCAAGGCGAAGGAAGAUUGAGGAAAAUCGAGAGAGAGAAAAAUGAGUUCCUCGGCUAUCUUAUGUUGUUUUACGGACAAGGAGAGUAAACAUGUGGUGUGAUCAGGGGACACACGUUUCACGCAGUCAGUUGCAAGGUGGCAGUGGUGCGGAGACGGAGUAUGCGCCAGCUCGGUCUUACACUUAGUACUAACGUUCGGCAACCUAGACAGAUCGGAUACAUGCGAAGUGCCCGUAUGGUAACUGUUGUUGGAUGCCUGGCCUGCUAGCAUGCUGUAAUAUGGGACGUUCAAGACUUUUCUCCAUUCUC